UACGUAGGGUGCAAGCGUUAAUCGGAAUUACUGGGCGUAAAGCGUGCGCAGGCGGUUCGCUAAGUCAGAUGUGAAAUCCCCGGGCUUAACCUGGGAACUGCAUUUGUGACUGGCGGGCUGGAGUAUGGCAGAGGGGGGUAGAAUUCCACGUGUAGCAGUGAAAUGCGUAGAGAUGUGGAGGAAUACCGAUGGCGAGGGCAGCCCCCUGGGCCAAUACUGACGCUCAUGCACGAAAGCGUGGGGAGCAAACAGG
This 253-nucleotide ribosomal RNA is filed under the name uncultured bacterium. RNAcentral's name for it is "partial 16S ribosomal RNA". It matches the Rfam family "Bacterial small subunit ribosomal RNA", at positions 524 to 776 of the family's 1533-position model. The record is from RNAcentral.